AGAAAAUCUCCCCUGCCUCAUACUACUGAGCUUAUAUUGGCCACAGGCAGGUGGAGGCAAUCAGGCAAUUAGGUAAUUAAGCAACUACCUCCACCUGCACUACCCAGGCAAGCAGAGGCAGGGGACGUAACACUGUGACAGAUAAAUUAGGCUGGUAAGAAUGUUUCUAACUCACAGAUUGCCUGAGUUUUGGUGGGUGGAGGCAGAAGGGAAUCACACGUUAGGAUGUUAACACAUGACAGACACUGCAUUUUCUCCUGGAGUUCACGGCUUGUGCAAGCAGCAAUUUAAGUUCCUUGAGCGGCGUUAUUGUUGUCUGUCGGCUGGCGGAAAUCCCAAAGGGAGCUCCCAUAUUUUGUCAAUCAAAAAGUUGACAGCACUCCCAAAAAUGCGCAUGCAUUCUGUCUGUGAUAUUGGCAGAGUGAAACACAGUGACAAAGAAGUACUGUGGCAGCUGGUGCAUUGACAAGUAACAGCCCAGACGGCCCAGAAUGCCUUCCUCCCUCAGAAGCCAUAACUCAUCCCUGAUUGGCCGCGCCGCCUUUCAUCUGCGCCGAGGGCCUAAUCACAGCGACUUGUUUUUGGGGGGUUGUGUUGUGGUUCCAGGCCCCACACCCCCCCUCCUGCCAGCCCAGUACUCCAAUAUGAGGAAGACAGGCAAGCCAGGGACUUUGAGAACAGUAGCUAGCCUUCCCCUUCACUCUCUCUCUCUCUUUCCACAUCUCUAUCCCACUUUCUGUCUCUCUAUCCCUCACUCUUCCACUUUCUCUCUAUCUAUGGCUGCAGUUGCAGCGCUUAAACCACUAAACUGAUGAGCUUCUCCAGCCUAAUUUUUGCAUGCAAAUGCAUUACAGAGUGCUCUGAUUUCUUUUUAUUUUUCUUAAUUUUUCUGUAUCUCGGCCAAAACCAUAACUGUCCUGUCACUUUAAUUGGACGAUUAUGAAUGUGAUGACAGGUCUGUUAAACUGAAGGCAGAGGAAAAAAUAUAAACUGAGAUCAUAUAAGUGCCGCUAAAAAGCCUAUCAUCUCUCACAACUGUUCAAAAAACAGUCAAUACCUUUUCCCUAAGACCUUUCCCCCAUGAGACUGAUGAUGUUUGAUUACAAUGUUUUUCAGAAGAUAUCACUGGCAAAUACUUAAUAUAAACAAAAAUUUAAUUGUCACAAAAUAUGUUAAAAUUGCUUUAAAUUAAUUUUAAGACAUGGGAAUGCCUCCUAAGAAUGCCUCAGAAUCCACUUAGCAGAUAUCACAAAGGUGAAAUACAAUUAUCUACAAAUAUAAAGUGCAUUCCAUAUAAUCAAGUGCAUUAAACACAUAUUUCCUCA
Anguilla rostrata (American eel) is the source of this 1325-nucleotide long non-coding RNA. RefSeq lists it as uncharacterized. The record is from RefSeq and is a predicted model, not a curated record. The transcript has 2 exons. Lineage: Eukaryota; Metazoa; Chordata; Actinopteri; Anguilliformes; Anguillidae.